GAUGAACGCUGGCGGUAUGCUUAACACAUGCAAGUCGAACGGACUCUUCGGAGUUAGUGGCGGACGGGUGAGUAACGCGUGAGAAUCUGGCUUUGGGUUCGGGACAACCACUGGAAACGGUGGCUAAUACCGGAUGUGCCGAGAGGUAAAAGAGAAAUUGCCUGAAGAUGAGCUCGCGUCUGAUUAGCUAGUUGGUGAGGUAAAGGCUCACCAAGGCAGCGAUCAGCAGCUGGUCUGAGAGGAUGACCAGCCACACUGGGACUGAGACACGGCCCAGACUCCUACGGGAGGCAGCAGUGGGGAAUUUUCCGCAAUGGGCGAAAGCCUGACGGAGCAGUACCGCGUGAGGGAAGAAGGCUCUUGGGUUGUAAACCUCUUUUCUUAGGGAAGAACAAAAUGACGGUACCUAAGGAAUCAGCAUCGGCUAACUCCGUG
RNAcentral lists this ribosomal RNA (435 nucleotides) under uncultured bacterium. RNAcentral's name for it is "partial 16S ribosomal RNA". It matches the Rfam family "Bacterial small subunit ribosomal RNA", at positions 28 to 507 of the family's 1533-position model. The record is from RNAcentral.